This 247-nucleotide ribosomal RNA is filed under the name uncultured bacterium. RNAcentral's name for it is "partial 16S ribosomal RNA". It matches the Rfam family "Bacterial small subunit ribosomal RNA", at positions 86 to 334 of the family's 1533-position model. The record is from RNAcentral.
UGGUGGCGACCGGCGCACGGGUACGUAACGCGUAUGCAACCUACCUUUAACAGGGGGAUAACACUGAGAAAUUGGUACUAAUACCCCAUAAUAUCAUAGAAGGCAUCUUUUAUGGUUGAAAAUUCCGAUGGUUAGAGAUGGGCAUGCGUUGUAUUAGCUAGUUGGUGGGGUAACGGCUCACCAAGGCGACGAUACAUAGGGGGACUGAGAGGUUAACCCCCCACACUGGUACUGGGACACGGACCAG